GAUGAACGCUGGCGGCGUGCCUAAUACAUGCCAGUCGAGCGAACGGACGAGAAGCUUGCUUCUCUGAUGUUAGCGGCGGACGGGUGAGUAACACGUGGAUAACCUACCUAUAAGACUGGGAUAACUUCGGGAAACCGGAGCUAAUACCGGAUAAUAUUUUGAACCGCAUGGUUCAAAAGUAAAAGACGGUCUUGCUGUCACUUAUAGAUGGAUCCGCGCUGCAUUAGCUAGUUGGUAAGGUAACGGCUUACCAAUGCAACGAUGCAUAGCCGACCUGAGAGGGUGAUCGGCCACACUGGAACUGAGACACGGUCCAGACUCCUACGGGAGGCAGCAGUAGGGAAUCUUCCGCAAUGGGCGAAAGCCUGACGGAGCAACGCCGCGUGAGUGAUGAAGGUCUUCGGAUCGUAAAACUCUGUUAUUAGGGAAGAACAUAUGUGUAAGUAACUGUGCACAUCUUGACGGUACCUAAUCAGAAAGCCACGGCUAACUACGUG
This 497-nucleotide ribosomal RNA is filed under the name uncultured bacterium. Its description in RNAcentral is "partial 16S ribosomal RNA". It matches the Rfam family "Bacterial small subunit ribosomal RNA", at positions 28 to 507 of the family's 1533-position model. The record is from RNAcentral.